RNAcentral lists this ribosomal RNA (531 nucleotides) under [Candida] sp. VVT-2012. RNAcentral's name for it is "eukaryotic LSU rRNA". The stretch from base 151 to 304 matches the Rfam family "5.8S ribosomal RNA". Lineage: Eukaryota; Fungi; Ascomycota; Saccharomycetes; Saccharomycetales. The record is from RNAcentral.
CACGGGACAUUACUGAUUGCUUAAUUGCACCACAUGUGUUGUUCUUUGAAACAGACUUGCUUUGGCGGUGGGCCCAGCCUGCCGCCAGAGGUCUAAACUUACAACCAAUUUUUUAUCAGCUUGUCACACCAGAUUAUUACUAAUAGUCAAAACUUUCAACAACGGAUCUCUUGGUUCUCGCAUCGAUGAAGAACGCAGCGAAAUGCGAUACGUAAUAUGAAUUGCAGAUAUUCGUGAAUCAUCGAAUCUUUGAACGCACAUUGCGCCCUCUGGUAUUCCGGAGGGCAUGCCUGUUUGAGCGUCGUUUCUCCCUCAAACCGCUGGGUUUGGUGUUGAGCAAUACGACUUGGGUUUGCUUGAAAGACGGUAGUGGUAAGGCGGGAUCGCUUUGACAAUGGCUUAGGUCUAACCAAAAACAUUGCUUGCGGCGGUAACGUCCACCACGUAUAUCUUCAAACUUUGACCUCAAAUCAGGUAGGACUACCCGCUGAACUUAAGCAUAUCAAUAAGCGGAGGAAAAGAAACCAACCA